GUUCACUCACAGACAGCAAACCAAGGGGUUGUGCUGUCUCCUUGUCUCCCAGGGAUAAACCCACAUGACAGUUUACAAAAACAGGUAAUCAUAAGAAGCAAAUGGCCCAGAUGAAACACAGCAAAAGAAUGAGAAGUGGUAACACUGGGAGUGAAAUUUGAACCAAGCGUAAAUGGAGUGAUCGUAGAAAUAGCUGACUGUGGAAUGUGGACACUCUCUGUAUCUGCAGCCUGGGAAGCUUAAAGAAGGUGAACUUACUGACACCAGUUAGAAAGUGACUGUGAUGAAACGAUGAAGAUGCUCCAGAGGAAGUGACACCAGCAAUAGGAAAAAAAAAACAAACCUCUCACUGAAGGAACUCUCGGAGAUAUUUCAUGACACAGAAGGCACAAAGGAUACAAUAUUGGCAACUAAUCGAAACUUAGAAAUGAUAUGACAGCUCACCAAGGCAUAGAAAAAGAUGCUUGCUCUAUCAUAAGUUAUAGAAUGAGAAGAAGAGACGGAGUCUCACUGUGUCGCCCAGGCUGGAGUACAGUGGCAUGAUCUCGGCUCACUGCAACCUCCACCUCCCGGGUUCAAGUGAUUCUCCUGCCUCAGCCUCCCACGUAGCUGGGAUUACAGGUACAUGCUGCCACGUCCGGCUAAUGUUUUGUAUUUUUAGUAGAGACAGAAUGGUCUCGAUCUCCUGACCUUGUGAUUCACCUGCCUCGGCCUCCCAAAGUGCUGGGAUUACCAGCAUGAGCCACCACACCCAGCCUGCAAUUUAUUUUUUAAUAGAUAUCCAUCCUAGCGUUUUCCAGGACCUGAAAGCUUUCAUGAAAAAAUAAAUGUAUUAAAUAUCUUCUAUGUUUGAGGAGCUGUAAUAGAUUUGGGGAAUAUAGAAAUGUUGCAAAUGCUUAAUUUUCAGUCUAGUAUCCUGUAAAAUGUUGUGUUUCUGGUAAUGCUUGGGAGAUUUUAUCAUUUUGGAAAUGCUUUUGCUUAAUUAGAUUCGCUAGUGUUCUAGGAGCCAAGGAUUCACAGACUGCACUUUUAAAGGGAUGAUAUUUUCACAUUUCCUUAGUACAGUUCUUUUAGUAACAAUAUUUAUAUAAAAAUUAUUAUGACGUGUGAGUCAUAAUAUUUGUUUUAAUUCUCAAAUUACCUGGUAACCACUGUUAAUAGUUUGGUAUAUAAACACUAAGAGAGCCAGUAAGUAAUUUGUUGUAUUUACAUUUGUACUUUUCUCUGUGCUAUUACACACACUUACACACACACACACAUACACAUCUCACAUGUACAUAAAUAGGUUAAAAUUUAUAUCCUUUCUUCCAAGGAAAAUGAGAUUAUCCUAUAGACAGGUGUCUGAAACUUGCUUAUUCACCUGUGAGUACAUCACAAGUAUCUCUUCAAAUUAAUACAUGAAUAUCUAACUCACUAUUUUUAAUAGCUGCAAAAUAUUUCUCAGUAUGGGAAGAGCAUAAUUUAUUCAAUGAUCUCGCUACUGAUGGACAUUCACAUUUAAAUUUUGUCUGUUUUUUUUUAACCCCUAUAAACGAAACUACAAUAAACAUUCAUGUGUGCACACACAUACAUGGUAUAUUUUUGUGGAUAGCCUCUGUAGCUGACUCUUCAACAUCCACUCCCAGAUAAACAGUCAAAGCCAAGGAUAAUUCUAUCCCUUUGUUAACGAUUGGUGAUAAAUGGACAAAUGUCCAUGAUAAAUGGACCCAGUUCUGGACAGUGAAUGUGAGGGGAAGUUGAUCAUGGAAGUUGUGAGAUAUGAUUCAUAAAACUGCUUCAAGGCCGGGCGCGGUGGCUCACGCCUGUAAUCUCAGCGCUUUGGGAGGCCAAGGUGGGCAGAUCACGAGGUCAGGAGAUCAAGAACAUCCUGGCUAACACGGUGAAGCCAGUCUCUACUAAAAUUACAAAAAAUUAGCUGGGUGUGAUGGCCCAUGCCUGUAAUCUCAGCUACUUGGGAGGCUGAGGCAGGAGAAUAGCUUGAACCUGGAGGCAGAGGUUGCAGUGAACCAAGAUCGCGCCACUGCACUCCACUCCAACCUGGGCAACAGAGCAAGACUCUGUCUCAAAACAAAACAAAACAAAAAAAAACACCUGCUUCAAACACCAUGUUCCAACUCAAAGAUAAAAAUGACAAGGAGGGUAAAGAAAAGAGAAAGAGCCGGGAUACUCAAUGACAUUUUGGCACACUGAAUUAACCAACCUUAGCGUCUACUCUGUUUUCUGGGCUUCCUUUCAGGUGAGAGAUACAUUUCUUACUAUUUAAGCCAAUUUAGUUUUUCUGUUUGUUAUAGCAAAGAACACAUCCUAUCAGACAUACCUCAUGUAUAGUUUUAUUUCUGUGACAAAAAUUUCCAAAAGAGGGUUUGCUGUAUUUUUACUGUAUUUGAGUCUGACAGAUUACAAUCCAAAAAUACUGUAACAAUGCAUACUUCUAUCAGCAAUGGUAUAUAGGAAUGCCUAUUUUCCCCAUACUUUCACAAGGAAAGGAAAGUAUCAACUAUAUGAAUUGUAAUUCAGUUUCAAGUAAUAGGUAACUAACCCAAAGGGGCUUAAAUUUAAAAGGGAGGUUAUUUGGCUCAUAUAACUGAACAGUCCAAGAGUAGAUGUGUAUUCAGAUAGGGCUUGGUUCACAAUAUAUGUGAAUCAAUCCAUGGAACAGAAGAAUUAAUGCAGGACAAGGAAAAAGAAAUAUAUAAAUAUAUAAAAAUAUAUAUAAUAUAAAAUAUAUAAAUAUAUAAAUAUAUAUGUGCACAUGUGACACCACUAUUUUAAAUUUUUCCCAAUAUAUGAAAAAUAUGGCAUUUUACUAGCAUUUUUCUAAGCAAAGUUAGUCGAAGUGAGAUUUGAAUACAAAUCAAAUGACUCAGAAAUUCUUUUACCUAUACCCUGUAUUAUAUCCUUCACAUCAGCUCCAUUUGAAAUCCUGAACUAUAGAAAGCCAUGAAAGAAAUAAAAUACUGUCUAGCAGUUCUAUGAAGAUUACAAAAGAUUUAGAAAUUCUGCCUGGGAAAACUUAGUGAUAUGCUAAAUUUUUACAGCCUAUAAAAUAAUGUAUCUUCUCAAGAACAAUUAAGGGUUUAAUUGUUGCCUUUUGUUGAGGAAGAAUCAUGGAAAGAUAUUGAGUAGCAGGCAGAGGAAAGGAAUCAAAUUAGAGCCAGAAGGAAUCAGUUUAGUCACAAAAAUUCUGUUUCUCAACAGAAAAGGUCCCACACAGGGCUGGGUGUAGUAGGUCUGUGUUGCUUGUCUGCCCUGCACCCUCCUCCGGUUCACAUGGUCCUGAUGGAAUUGUGAAAGAUUGCCUCAUCAUCCUCAACUCGAGAGCCAUCAUGUGACCCAGGCCAACCAAUCAAUAUGCCCCAUCCCUCUGGUCAUAGUGAAUGGUUCUAAGAUGGGCAUGUGACAUAAGUGGAGCCCAUUAGAAUCCUCCUUAGGACUUUUCUGCCAGAGUAAUUAGAAGAGAAUAUCUCUUUUCCAUUGGGGUUGAUAGCCUGUCAUCUUCAUGAAGCCAGCUGUAGCCCUGAAUUUCCAAUUCGUGUGGUCAACAAAUUUCUUAUUUUGCCAGGGUUGCUUUGUUCAGUUUUCUGUUCUCCAACAAAAUGUUUUUAAGCAAUAUUGUGGGUCACUCACAAGUCUGUUGUUGCUCCUUCUUCUGAGGCUAUUAAUAUGAGAGAACUUAUGUGCAGAAGGAGGAUGGUCAAAUGACACCUCUAGAGGUUGGUUGCAUCUCAUCAGGGAUCUGUCUGAUGGUGGAUGUAAUGGAAAUAAAAGAGAAUGCAGGGCUGGUGUGAUUCUCACUUCAAAUUCCCAGAAACUCAUUCAUUGACCCCACAUUCUUUAAAUACGAUUUCAGAACUCAUAGGUGAGACAUAUUUAAGUGAUUUACAAUACAUAAUGAAUAAAGCUAUAAUCUUUUUUUCCUUUGAGAAAAAAAAGAAAAGAAAAGUUGAUUCCUAUUUACAAUUAUUCACACAAACCAGAUUCUGGACCAAGUGUCAACUGCUGUGUGAUUAGCCAAAAGAGUACUUCUUAAACAGUCCUUUCUAAAACUCAGCUAGUCAAGCCAAUUUAUCCAUCAGGAUGUGAGUUGGAAGCCAGGCUAUGAUGGUUAGAACCAUAGCCAAAUUAAAGCCUUUCUGAGAGCCUUUGUAACUUGGGGUUUGAAGGGAACAGAAGGAGCUGAACUGAGCUCUAACCCGAAGGUGUUUAGAUUCUAUGGAGAAGGAGAAUAACGUCAGACUAUGAUAAGAAUGGCCACCAUUUGUGGAGCUGCUUCUACAGGCUAGGUACACUGCACGUUUUAUCCCAUUUAAUCCUCACAACGAUUUUGUAAAGGAGGCAUAGUUAACCCAUGAGUAUUCACAUGGGGAAACUGAGGCUCACAGAAAUCAAGGUUUGUCCAGAGUUACAUAACUGGUACAUGAAGGAUCUAGGCGUCAUGUUCAGUUCUAGCUUGUCCAAGGUCUGUGCUUUGGGUCUCUUCCCUAAACUCCAUGUUUUUCUCACAGCGUUAUGUGGCCAUCUACAGCUGAGUUUAUUAAGUUUUGACUUAAGGCAUUCCUUCCGGAACUAGAUUUCUAGCCAAGACCUCUGAAGGAAUCAGAUUGCAUCCACAGUUACUACAGUAUUUCUUGGUCUUCUCUUCCAGAAGGGUGUUCUUCUAGAGGAACUGUUUACUGACUUGAAAUGCUGUUAUAAAAUCUCAGUUCAAAGGUUGUGUAUCUCCCAGGAAACAAAUGGCUUUUUUAUUCUUCGCCACUAGCUUAACACUGCAUUAUAGCUGCUCAUAACAAGUCAUGGUAUGCUAAUUUAUGAGUCACAUGACACAGUCAAUUCAUAUUAUAGACAUUGCCCUGAUUAUAUGUCUCCUUAACUGAAAUGUUUACAUAGUUGUGAUGGAAUCAAUUUUAUUAAUUUUACAGCAUUCACAGGUUUCUCCUCUUCCCAAGACUGCCAGAGAGAUCCUGUAAUUACCUGCCCGGUUUUUCUUCUUAGGAGACAUGAGAAAAGAAUAGAAUUCCUCCAAUUAUUUUCUGCUUGUUUGUGCCUCUGUAAAUUUGACUCUUCUCAGAGAUGAAACCACCUGGGACACAGCUUCUUUAGAGUUGCACAGUGACACCUGCAAAUAGUUAGCAGUGCACCAGGUACAGAAGCACACACACCUGGUGGCAGGGCAAGAUGGGGUGAUUCCUGGAGCCAGAUCAUCCCUGAUGUGUUCCUUGCAGUGUUAUCAGGGGGAUUACAGGAAAUAACAUACACAAAAAACUGUUUCUUAACUGCAAAGCACUGUGCAAACGUGAGCUGUUAAGCCAGGUGGUGUGUGCAAUGGAGAUCACCUUUUGCCGGGGGGUAAUCAUUUCAGUUUACAUAACACUUAUCACUCCAGGAGCCCCAAGCCCUUGUGAAUAUUAUCCUGAGAAAUAUCACUUGAAAUGAAAUGCGCAUGCAUAAACAGAGUCUAGCAAAUGGAGGCACCAAUUAUGAUGACAAUGACGAAGGUCUUAAAUGAGAACAUAAACAUUUUGACAUGUCAGCUCCCAAGGAUGUUGCCACUGUAGUCACAACACCUUCUGAGGGAAAAUCAAUUCUCAACGUUAAUGUUUCCCAUGAGUGUUGACUCCUCGGGGGAUGGGGGAGGAAGAGGGAAACAAAAGUGGAAAAACAUUUUAAAAUAUGAAUUUUAUUUUCCAUAGCAGUAUAUCAGAAAACUCAAAUAUAACUCCACAACUUUUUCAAGAGUUUCUUUUUGUUUUCCAAUGGUAACGGGAGAGAAAAUAAGCUGUCAUUAUCGGAAUGAUCAAACACAGAGAGAAAAGAGGCAGAGGUGAGAAGAUGGAGAAGAUGAAUACAUUUGCUUUCAGCAAACCAAUGGAAGUCCAUUUGCAUGAUCUGAAAAGGAAAAUGAGAAGCUAAUUUUUCUAUACAAGGCAGAAUUUAAGAAAUACAAUUCCUAAGGACUCCAGUGGAUACAGCUCUGGUUCCUGGACUUCGUGUUUUGGCUUGGUCUUUCUGCUUUUUCAAUUUUGUCACUGGUGUGAUCCAGAGAACAUGCCUUUCACUGUGAAAACCAGCACCUUCAAGGCCAGGCGCAGUGGCUUGCGCCUAUAAUCCCAGCAUAUUGGGAGGCCGAGGUGGGUGGAUCACCUGAGGUCAGGAGUUCAAGACCAACCUGACCAACAUGGUCUACUAAAAAUACAAAAAUUAGCCCGGCAUGGUGGCGGGCGCCUAUAAUCCCAGGUACUCGGGAGGCUGAGACAUGAGAAUAGCUUGAACCAGGGAGGCGGAGGUUGCAGUGAGACGAGAUCACACCAUUGCACUCCAGCCUGGGCAACAGAGCAAGACUCCAUCUCAAAAACAAACAAACAAACAAACAAAAACACCACACAAAACCAGCACCUUCCACAGUGUCUAGCAUACGUUAGUCACCAAAACAGGUUUGCUAAAUGAACAAAUGAAUGAAUGGCAUUUUAUGUGUCAGUAAAUAUGCUUCAAAAUCAUGAUGUAUGAUGAGUAAGCAACUCUAUCAAAUAAAUAUAACGUAAUUUGCUGUGAGCACAUAAUUUGCUGUGUUCUAGUAUUGAACAGUUGGACUAUUUCCAUAUUUUAAUUUUUACUAUUAUGUUUGAGGAUGAUAUAUAAAUCUU
This 6641-nucleotide long non-coding RNA is filed under the name Homo sapiens (human). Its description in RNAcentral is "HSALNT0153624". The record is from RNAcentral. Lineage: Eukaryota; Metazoa; Chordata; Mammalia; Primates; Hominidae.